Molecule: transfer RNA, 120 nt
Filed under: Aquabacterium sp.
Lineage: Bacteria; Pseudomonadati; Pseudomonadota; Betaproteobacteria; Burkholderiales; Sphaerotilaceae
Also listed under: 1 other name
Description: tRNA-Ser
Rfam family: tRNA (bases 48-117)
About the family: Transfer RNA (tRNA) molecules are approximately 80 nucleotides in length.
Source: RNAcentral
GGGCUUUAAGCAUGGCUUAAAGACCUCUCAACCUUGUGUCUUCGGUCAGGCGCUGGCCGGCUAGGGGUGGACGGACUCUUAAUCCGUUGGUCGAGUGUUCGAGUCACUCAGGGCCCACCA